CCUACGGGUGGCUGCAGUGAGGAAUAUUGGUCAAUGGACGAGAGUCUGAACCAGCCAAGUAGCGUGAAGGAUGACUGCCCUAUGGGUUGUAAACUUCUUUUAUAUUGGAAUAAAAUGUUCCACGUGUGGGAUUUUGUAUGUACCAUAUGAAUAAGGAUCGGCUAACUCCGUGCCAGCAGCCGCGGUAAUACGGAGGAUCCGAGCGUUAUCCGGAUUUAUUGGGUUUAAAGGGUGCGUAGGUGGAUGUUUAAGUCAGUUGUGAAAGUUUGUGGCUCAACCGUAGAAUUGCAGUUGAAACUGGAAGGCUUGAGUACAGUAGAGGUGGGCGGAAUGCGUGGUGUAGCGGUGAAAUGCUUAGAUAUCACGAAGAACUCCGAUUGCGAAGGCAGCUUACUGGACUGCAACUGACACUGAGGCUCGAAAGUGUGGGUAUCAAACAGGAUUAGAUACCCGGGUAGUC
RNAcentral lists this ribosomal RNA (460 nucleotides) under uncultured bacterium. RNAcentral describes it as "partial 16S ribosomal RNA". It matches the Rfam family "Bacterial small subunit ribosomal RNA", at positions 338 to 795 of the family's 1533-position model. The record is from RNAcentral.